AUGAAAGAUAUUGAACAACUGAGUUUCCUCGAGAGUGUCGAGCCCCCCAGCCGCGGCGCUCCUACAGGCCAGUCCCCGCCAGAGACGGUGCUCCCGGGAGGGCCUCCCAGAUUUCUGCUGCUCGCUGGGGGUUCGGGGCGUGACCCCAGGGUCCUGGGAUGGAGCCCCACGGAGCCCCCUACUCCGUCAGGCGGGGACCCUGCCUCUCCCUCUCCAUCCGCUCCAGCCGCUCACGACGUGGAAGAGGCCGGGGGAGCUGAGGCCGUGGCACCUGCCGCCCACGCCCAGCCAACACGGGCACUUGGUGCAUCUCAGGCCCACGAAAUACAGCGCAGUCACCUUCGUGGCCCUGGUCGCGGAUGUGUGGGCCGUGGCCUUGCCUGGUCGCGUAGUCCUGGUCGCUCACAGGGGACCUGCCCCGGGGCAGGGGUUCGAGGCCUGCAGGGGAGCCCCCCGAGACGGCUCGUGUGCUGGGAGUGCGGAGGAGGGGCCGGGGCUUUUCCGGGGUGGCUCACGGGCGGUGCGGCAUCGGGGGAAGCCAUCCUCGGGAUCCUGCGUCUCCUGGCUCUGUGGCCCCUCACGACGUCGCUUCUCCCGGAGACUCGCUUCCUGCGGCCAGCCGGGGCAGCAGCCGUGGCCACCACAGCUGGCACGGGGCUCCCGGGCGGAACGCGUGUGCAACGCUGGCGCCGUCCAGUCCUCACCUGGGGCCGCUUGGCUGCCGCGGCGUGGGCAGUGGCCACCGUAUCAAGGCUGUCGGUCCACAGCACACACGCUCUCAAUCCAGCACACACGCGUGUCCUGCACCGCGUGUGUACACACACAUACACACGUAUACCCGUGUGUACACAUGCACACUCACAUGCAUAUACACACGUGCACAUACACACACACAUGCACACACAUGUAUACAUAUACACAGACAUGUACACACAUACACACGUAUACACAUAUAUACAUAUAUACACAUAUACACACACUUUUAUGCACAUAUACACAUACAUGUAUAUACACGUAUACACACACAUAUACACACAUAAUAUACACACGUACACAUGUAUACACACGUGUACACACAUACACAUACUUGUAUACACACAUGUACACACAUGUAUAUACAUAUAUAGAUAUACACACAUACACGGACACAUACACACAUACACAUAUACACACGUACACAUAUACAUAGACACAAUAUUCACGUACACACAUAUACACAUGUACACACAUACUUUUAUACACAUAUACACAGAUACGCACACACACACAUAUAUGGACAUAUGCACAGACAUACACACAGGUAUAUGCAGAUAA
This 1314-nucleotide long non-coding RNA is filed under the name Canis lupus familiaris (dog). Its description in RNAcentral is "lncRNA (ENSCAFG00030014796.1)". The record is from RNAcentral. Lineage: Eukaryota; Metazoa; Chordata; Mammalia; Carnivora; Canidae.